RNAcentral lists this long non-coding RNA (2030 nucleotides) under Anser brachyrhynchus (Pink-footed goose). Its description in RNAcentral is "lncRNA (ENSABRG00000011956.1)". Lineage: Eukaryota; Metazoa; Chordata; Aves; Anseriformes; Anatidae. The record is from RNAcentral.
CAGAAAACAAGAGCUUUAUUUCUUGACUGUAGUUAAAGGCGUAGUACCUGGUAGAGUCAUGGCUUUGGUUUAAGUUGGACAUCACCCAAAGUUCCAGCACAGCCAUCAGCAAAUUGUUGAGAGUACUGUGCUUUGUGUGCCCUCUGUACUGGCACCAGCAAGCGCAUUCUCUGCCUGUUGUUGUACCUGUUUGAUAAAGGCAGUCUCAGGGUCAUUUUUCAGAAGCAAUGUAAAGGUACCACAGCCGUUAGCAUACUGACGUGACAUGUCAAGGCUCCAGUGUGUCAAAAUUUUUUUCUUUUUUUUUUUCCUGACAGCAAUGAAGUUAAUGUUAAAAAACAAAACAAAACAAAAAACCAUUUUUUUGGUGCUUAGGCACAUUCACACUCACUAGCUGACUGAUGUGGUUACUCAACACAAGAUCCAUAAAUCCUGCACCUAGAAGAAGUGCCGUUCUUCAUCCCAAAAGCUGACUACAGUUUUUUCCUAUAUAGGAAGCCAGGACCCUGAGUGAAAGCAGAGGCAAAAGCAAUGUGCACUUGGAUGGACGGAGAGCUGGAGGCGAUGCAGGGCACAUUCUUCCCUUGCUGCUGCCAUGGGUGAGCAGCAGCAGCCGGAGCAGCUCGGUGCUGUGUGUUCUGCUGGCUCGGGGGUAAGUCUCCUUCUCAGUCUCAGAUCAGAGGGAAAAGCCUCUCCCCUGGUGGGAGAGGUUGUGCUGAGCAUCAUAGAACGGAAUAAAUGCCUGUUGUUGUGCAGCUGCUGAGCAACACUCCGGGCCCCGCACAGCAUUUGGGUGAGAGCAUCCUGCUGGAUGGCAGCUUUGAUUUUCCAUCGUGGAGAGGCAUCGCAGCACAGCGGGAGCUCAGCCAGAGCCAGAGGUCAUUCUGCAGCAUGUGCCCAGCAUCGGGGCACCUUGCAUGGCUUAAACCAAAGGCUUUCUUUUAAAAUCAAGUGUGUAUUGGACUGUGUGUGCAGGAAAGGCACAAAUCCUCUGGAGAUAAGAGCUGAGGCCUGCUUCCUGUUGCCUUGAAUGCUGCUGCUGGCUGACCUGUGUAUUUGGAGCAAGAUAAUGGAAGUCCGGCAUCAUUACAAAACAGCACAUGUAAGAUUUCUUUCUAAUGGCCUACAAAUCCGGAGAGAGUGCAGUGCACAUUUUAUGAUAACAUUUCUGCUAUCUCAUUGCAGGGGGAUCCAUUCUGGCUCGCGUUCAAGCCCCUGACAAGGCACUGUCCUGUCGCAGUACCCCAAAGCACUCGGUUUCCCCUUUUUCAUGGAAAUCCAAGACUGCACUCGGCAGUGCCUUUGUUGGCAUGUGAGCGUGUCUCUAAGUGAAUUGUAAUGUCUCUUUUGCCACUUUCCUUCUGGAAUAAUAUCUUCAGUGCAAGCAGGAAAUUUUCUUCCAUCAGCUGCUGGUGAAUGAGUUCUUCAGGCUGGUUAUUUUAAAAUAAUUUGUGUAACUUUGAGUUGGGAGGAAUAGGAUGAAAAUGAAAGAUCAGUGGCACGCUGUUCCCUGAGUUUUGGCUGGCCAGCCAAAGAGCGGAGGCAGACGUUCCCCAAGCAGGCAGAGAUGGGAUUAUUCUCUUUGGCUGGACAAAGGGUUUUUUGCUAAAUGAAUGACUGAAGUCAAAGCUAUAUAUGACAGUGCUCUAAUCAUAAAAACAGCAUAUUUCACAAGUUUCUAACUCAAAGUCAGGGAAAGGUUGAAAGAAUUCAGAAGCUGAAAUAGUCUGCCUAAUGUGUAUUAGGGUACUUUGAAAAGGUAUUGUGAAACUUCCAUUAUAUCUUCCUACGUUUUACAUGAACUGAGGCCUUCCUCUAGCCUAGCUUGUAUAUAUUUCUCCACAAAAGGAAAUGAAAAAAACUUUUUCAUCACUAUUGGAGAAACAUGGUUAAAAAACCCUGAGAUAGCGCUUAUUUCCCCAAAUCAGAGAAUUGCCUAAUAAGCACAAAGCUACGGAGUCUGGGCUAAAUUAAUAUUCCUUUUGCUUGCAGACCAUCAGUAAUUCCAGAAUCUGAAUUUCAUUAGGGAG